GAUGAACGCUGGCGGCGUGCCUAAUACAUGCAAGUCGAGCGAACAGACGAGGAGCUUGCUCCUCUGACGUUAGCGGCGGACGGGUGAGUAACACGUGGAUAACCUACCUAUAAGACUGGGAUAACUUCGGGAAACCGGAGCUAAUACCGGAUAAUAUAUUGAACCGCAUGGUUCAAUAGUGAAAGACGGUUUUGCUGUCACUUAUAGAUGGAUCCGCGCCGCAUUAGCUAGUUGGUAAGGUAACGGCUUACCAAGGCAACGAUGCGUAGCCGACCUGAGAGGGUGAUCGGCCACACUGGAACUGAGACACGGUCCAGACUCCUACGGGAGGCAGCAGUAGGGAAUCUUCCGCAAUGGGCGAAAGCCUGACGGAGCAACGCCGCGUGAGUGAUGAAGGUCUUCGGAUCGUAAAACUCUGUUAUUAGGGAAGAACAAAUAUGUAAGUAACUAUGCACGUCUUGACGGUACCUAAUCAGAAAGCCACGGCUAACUACGUG
Molecule: ribosomal RNA, 497 nt
Filed under: uncultured bacterium
Lineage: Bacteria
Description: partial 16S ribosomal RNA
Rfam family: Bacterial small subunit ribosomal RNA
Source: RNAcentral